This 471-nucleotide long non-coding RNA is filed under the name Theobroma cacao (cacao). RNAcentral's name for it is "long non-coding RNA (TCAC_LNC000791)". The record is from RNAcentral. Lineage: Eukaryota; Viridiplantae; Streptophyta; Magnoliopsida; Malvales; Malvaceae.
CUUCAGAGUCCGAUUCUAAAAUUGAAGUGCCUCAUGGUGUUAAGUUCCAGGAAGAAAAUACUGAUGCUUUUGAGGAAAAUGGUGAGAAUGUUGUUAAAAUUGAGGGCACUACCUUGAAUAUGGUGUCGAAGAUGGAUUUAGCUCCUGAUGUAGAAAAGGUUUCUCCUCCAAGGGCAGCUUCUGCUGUUGAAAGUGAAAUUACUACUCAAUUAUAUUCUUCAGAGUCCAGUUCUAAAAUUGAAGUUCCCCAUGGUAUUAAGUUCCAGGAAGAAAAUAGUGGUGCUUCUGAGGGAAAUGGUGAGAAUGUUAAUAAAAUCGAGGGCACUACUUUGAAUAUGGUGUCAAAGAUGGAUCUAGUUCCUGAUGUAGAAAAUGUUUCUCCUCCAUUGGCAGCUUCUGCUGUUGAAAGUGAAAUUACUACUCAAUUAGCUUCUUCAGAGUCCAGUUCUACAAUUGAAGUGCCCCAUGGUC